UCGAGAAUCAUUCGCAAUGGGGGAAACCCUGACGGUGCGACGCCGCGUGGAGGAUGAAGGUCUUCGGAUUGUAAACUCCUGUCAUCAGGGAGUAAGGCUUGGUGGUAAAUAGCCAUCAAGAUUGCUAGUACCUGAAGAGGAAGGGACGGCUAACUUCGUGCCAGCAGCCGCGGUAAUACGAAGGUCCCAAGCGUUGUUCGGAAUCACUGGGCGUAAAGGGUGCGUAGGCGGCGGGGUAAGUCAGAUGUGAAAUUUUCGAGCUCAACUUGGAAACUGCAUCCGAUACUACUUUGCUUGAGUAGCGGAGGGGAGUCUGGAAUUCACGGUGUAGCAGUGAAAUGCGUAGAGAUCGUGAGGAACACUAGUAGCGAAGGCGAGACUCUGGACGUUUACUGACGCUGAGGCACGAAGGCCAGGGGAGCAAAAGGGAUUAGAUACCCCCGUAGUCCCUGAGCGGGCUGGCAAGGCGCAU
Molecule: ribosomal RNA, 472 nt
Filed under: uncultured bacterium
Lineage: Bacteria
Description: bacterial SSU rRNA
Rfam family: Bacterial small subunit ribosomal RNA
Source: RNAcentral